This 512-nucleotide ribosomal RNA is filed under the name Chiropterotriton chondrostega (gristle-headed splayfoot salamander). RNAcentral's name for it is "partial 16S large subunit ribosomal RNA". It matches the Rfam family "Bacterial large subunit ribosomal RNA", at positions 1817 to 2597 of the family's 2925-position model. Lineage: Eukaryota; Metazoa; Chordata; Amphibia; Caudata; Plethodontidae. The record is from RNAcentral.
CGCCUUCCGAUCAAUAAAUAUGAAAGGUCCUGCCUGCCCAGUGAUAUUUUUCAACGGCCGCGGUAUUAUGACCGUGCAAAGGUAGCAUAAUCACUUGUCUUUUAAAUUAAGACCAGUAUGAAUGGCAAGACGAGAGCAUAACUGUCUCCUUAAGUUAGUCAAUGAAAUUAAUAUUCCCGUGCAGAAGCGGAGAUAAAAAUAUAAGACGAGAAGACCCUGUGGAGCUUAUAAAAAAAGCUAUAUAGACAUCUACAAUAGCCUAUAAUUUAGGUUGGGGCGACCAUGAGGUAAAAUAAAACCCUCAAGACAACAACUAGAAGGACACUUCAAACAAAAAGUAACAUUUAUAAUGACCCAUUAAUGAGCAACGAACCAAGUUACCCCAGGGAUAACAGCGCAAUCCAUCUCCAGAGCCCAUAUCGACAAAUGGGUUUACGACCUCGAUGUUGGAUCAGGACCCCCUAAUGGUGCAACAACUAUUAAAGGUUCGUUUGUUCAACGAUUAAAGUCCU